Molecule: ribosomal RNA, 364 nt
Filed under: Babesia sp.
Lineage: Eukaryota; Apicomplexa; Aconoidasida; Piroplasmida; Babesiidae
Description: SSU rRNA
Rfam family: Eukaryotic small subunit ribosomal RNA
Source: RNAcentral
AGGUAGUGACAAGAAAUAACAAUACAGGGCAAUUGUCUUGUAAUUGGAAUGAUGGUGACCUAAACCCUCACCAGAGUAACAAUUGGAGGGCAAGUCUGGUGCCAGCAGCCGCGGUAAUUCCAGCUCCAAUAGCGUAUAUUAAACUUGUUGCAGUUAAAAAGCUCGUAGUUGAAUUUCUGCGUUAUCGAGUUAUUGACUCUUGUCUUUAAUCGAUUUCGCUUUUGGGAUUUAUCCCUUUUUACUUUGAGAAAAUUAGAGUGUUUCAAGCAGACUUUUGUCUUGAAUACUUCAGCAUGGAAUAAUAGAGUAGGACUUUGGUUCUAUUUUGUUGGUUUUUGAACCUUAGUAAUGGUUAAUAGGAACG